This 24-nucleotide microRNA is filed under the name Panagrellus redivivus. RNAcentral describes it as "prd-miR-7876-5p". The record is from miRBase by way of RNAcentral. Lineage: Eukaryota; Metazoa; Nematoda; Chromadorea; Rhabditida; Panagrolaimidae.
AAUGCAUUCUUUGGGCUGCCUCCG